CGGCAUGCCUUANACAUGCAAGUCGAAGGCAGCACGGGAGCAAUCCUGGUGGCGAGUGGCGAACGGGUGAGUAAUAUAUCGGAACGUGCCCAGUCGUGGGGGAUAACGUAGCGAAAGCUACGCUAAUACCGCAUACGAUCUAUGGAUGAAAGCGGGGAUCGCAAGACCUCGCGCGAUUGGAGCGGCCGAUAUCAGAUUAGGUAGUUGGUGAGGUAAAGGCUCACCAAGCCGACGAUCUGUAGCUGGUCUGAGAGGACGACCAGCCACACUGGGACUGAGACACGGCCCAGACUCCUACGGGAGGCAGCAGUGGGAAUUUGGACAAUGGGCGCAAGCCUGAUCCAGCAAUGCCGCGUGCAGGAUGAAGGCCUUCGGGUUGUAAACUGCUUUGUACGGAACGAAACGGUGAGCUCUAAUACAGUUUGCUAAUGACGGUACCGUAAGAAUAAGCACCGGCUAACUACGUG
This 467-nucleotide ribosomal RNA is filed under the name uncultured bacterium. RNAcentral's name for it is "bacterial SSU rRNA". It matches the Rfam family "Bacterial small subunit ribosomal RNA", at positions 40 to 507 of the family's 1533-position model. The record is from RNAcentral.